Molecule: ribosomal RNA, 1466 nt
Filed under: metagenome
Description: bacterial LSU rRNA
Rfam family: Bacterial large subunit ribosomal RNA
Source: RNAcentral
UCUAGGCCAGCUUGGCGUUGGUUGUCCAAGUUUAAGGUGGUAGGCUGAAAUCUUAGGUAAAUCCGGGGUUUCAAGGCCGAGAGCUGAUGACGAGUCGUCUUUUAGAUGACGAAGUGGUUGAUGCCAUGCUUCCAAGAAAAGCUUCUAAGCUUCAGGUAACCAGGAACCGUACCCCAAACCGACACAGGUGGUCGGGUAGAGAAUACCAAGGCGCUUGAGAGAACUCGGGUGAAGGAACUAGGCAAAAUGGCACCGUAACUUCGGGAGAAGGUGCGCCGGCUAGGGUGAAGGAUUUAUUCCGUAAGCUCUGGCUGGUCGAAGAUACCAGGCCGCUGCGACUGUUUAUUAAAAACACAGCACUCUGCAAACACGAAAGUGGACGUAUAGGGUGUGACGCCUCCCCGGUGCCGGAAGGUUAAUUGAUGGGGUUAGCGCAAGCGAAGCUCUUGAUCGAAGCCCCGGUAAACGGCGGCCGUAACAAUAACGGUCCUAAGGUAGCGAAAUUCCUUGUCGGGUAAGUUCCGACCUGCACGAAUGGCGUAACGAUGGCGGCGCUGUCUCCACCCGAGACUCAGUGAAAUUGAAAUCGCUGUGAAGAUGCAGUGUAUCCGCGGCUAGACGGAAAGACCCCGUGAACCUUUACUGUAGCUUUGCACUGGACUUUGAGCCUGCUUGUGUAGGAUAGGUGGGAGGCUUUGAAGCGUGGACGCCAGUUCGCGUGGAGCCAUCCUUGAAAUACCACCCUGGCAUGCUUGAGGUUCUAACUCUGGUCCGUAAUCCGGAUCGAGGACAGUGUAUGGUGGGCAGUUUGACUGGGGCGGUCUCCUCCUAAAGAGUAACGGAGGAGUACGAAGGUGCGCUCAGACCGGUCGGAAAUCGGUCGCAGAGUAUAAAGGCAAAAGCGCGCUUGACUGCGAGACAGACACGUCGAGCAGGUACGAAAGUAGGUCUUAGUGAUCCGGUGGUUCUGUAUGGAAGGGCCAUCGCUCAACGGUUAAAAGGUACUCCGGGAUAACAGGCUGAUACCGCCCAAGAGUUCAUAUCGACGGCGGUGUUUGGCACCUCGAUGUCGGCUCAUCACAUCCUGGGGCUGAAGCCGGUCCCAAGGGUAUGGCUGUUCGCCAUUUAAAGUGGUACGCGAGCUGGGUUUAGAACGUCGUGAGACAGUUCGGUCCCUAUCUGCCGUGGACGUUUGAGAUUUGAGAGGGGCUGCUCCAAGUACGAGAGGACCGGAGUGGACGAACCUCUGGUGUUCCGGUUGUCACGCCAGUGGCAUUGCCGGGUAGCUAUGUUCGGAAAAGAUAACCGCUGAAAGCAUCUAAGCGGGAAACUUGCCUCAAGAUGAGAUCUCACUGGGAACUUGAUUCCCCUGAAGGGCCGUCGAAGACUACGACGUUGAUAGGCUGGGUGUGUAAGCGUUGUGAGGCGUUGAGCUAACCAGUACUAAUUGCCCGUGAGGCUUGAUC